GGCCUGGUCAGCGCUGACUCCACAUGGGCUCCAGGCUCCUCUGCUGUGUGGCCCUCUGCCUCCUGGGAGCAGGCCCCUUGGACACAGCAGUUUCCCAGACUCCAAAGUACCUCAUCUCACGGGUGGGAAAUGAGAAGACCCUGAAAUGUGAACAAAACCUGAACCACGAUGCCAUGUACUGGUAUAAGCAGGACUCCAAGAAAUUGCUGAAGAUUAUGUUUAUCUACUAUUAUAUGAAACUCAAUCUACAUGAAACAGGUUCAGGUCGUUUCUCACCUGAAGCUCCUGACAAAGCUCAUUUACACCUUCACAUCAACUCCCUGGAGCCGGGCGACUCUGCUGUGUAUUUCUGUGCCAGCAGCCAAGACACAGCCCUGAAAAGUCACUGCCUCCCUGUGCAAAAACCCCCUGGCCCAGCCAGGAAGCUGUGGGGGCAACAUGUUCUCCUGGCUCCAAUGCUCUGUUCACCCGCCGCGAGACUCUGA
Equus quagga is the source of this 485-nucleotide non-coding RNA. NCBI's taxonomy places the organism in Eukaryota, Metazoa, Chordata, Mammalia, Perissodactyla, Equidae. The record is from the annotation of a RefSeq genome assembly.